Molecule: ribosomal RNA, 426 nt
Filed under: uncultured Actinomycetes bacterium
Lineage: Bacteria; Bacillati; Actinomycetota; Actinomycetes
Description: bacterial SSU rRNA
Rfam family: Bacterial small subunit ribosomal RNA
Source: RNAcentral
AACGCGAAGAACCUUACCAAGGCUUGACAUGCAGGGAAAAGCCGUAGAGACACGGUGUCCGUAAGGGUCCUGCACAGGUGGUGCAUGGCUGUCGUCAGCUCGUGUCGUGAGAUGUUGGGUUAAGUCCCGCAACGAGCGCAACCCUUAUCCUAUGUUGCCAGCGGAUUAUGCCGGGGACUCAUGGGAGACUGCCGGGGUCAACUCGGAGGAAGGUGGGGAUGAGGUCAAGUCAUCAUGCCCCUUAUGUCUUGGGCUGCAAACAUGCUACAAUGGCCGGUACAGAGGGCUGCGAGACCGCAAGGUGGAGCGAAUCUCAAAAAGCCGGUCUCAGUUCGGAUUGGGGUCUGCAACUCGACCCCAUGAAGUCGGAGUCGCUAGUAAUCGCGAAUCAGCAACGUCGCGGUGAAUACGUUCCCGGGCCUUGUA